GCUAAACGCGAAGAACCUUACCUGGUCUUGACAUCCACGGAACCUAGCAGAGAUGUUGGGGUGCCUUCGGGAACCGUGAGACAGGUGCUGCAUGGCUGUCGUCAGCUCGUGUCGUGAGAUGUUGGGUUAAGUCCCGUAACGAGCGCAACCCUUGUCCUUAGUUGCCAUCAGGUUAUGCUGGGCACUUUAAGGAGACUGCCGGUGAUAAACCGGAGGAAGGUGGGGAUGACGUCAAGUCCUCAUGGCCCUUACAGGUAGGGCUACACACGUGCUACAAUGGGCAGUACAGAGGGAAGCCAACCCGCGAGGGGGAGCGAAUCUCAUAAAGCUGUUCGUAGUCCGGAUUGGAGUCUGCAACUCGACUCCAUGAAGUUGGAAUCGCUAGUAAUCGCGGAUCAGAAUGCCGCGGUGAAUACGUUCCCGGGUCUUGUACACACCG
RNAcentral lists this ribosomal RNA (439 nucleotides) under uncultured bacterium. RNAcentral's name for it is "bacterial SSU rRNA". It matches the Rfam family "Bacterial small subunit ribosomal RNA", at positions 954 to 1392 of the family's 1533-position model. The record is from RNAcentral.